RNAcentral lists this small RNA (501 nucleotides) under Cladosporium cladosporioides. RNAcentral describes it as "eukaryotic LSU rRNA". The stretch from base 185 to 338 matches the Rfam family "5.8S ribosomal RNA". The record is from RNAcentral. Lineage: Eukaryota; Fungi; Ascomycota; Dothideomycetes; Cladosporiales; Cladosporiaceae.
CGUAGGUGAACCUGCGGAGGGAUCAUUACAAGUGACCCCGGUCUAACCACCGGGAUGUUCAUAACCCUUUGUUGUCCGACUCUGUUGCCUCCGGGGCGACCCUGCCUUCGGGCGGGGGCUCCGGGUGGACACUUCAAACUCUUGCGUAACUUUGCAGUCUGAGUAAACUUAAUUAAUAAAUUAAAACUUUUAACAACGGAUCUCUUGGUUCUGGCAUCGAUGAAGAACGCAGCGAAAUGCGAUAAGUAAUGUGAAUUGCAGAAUUCAGUGAAUCAUCGAAUCUUUGAACGCACAUUGCGCCCCCUGGUAUUCCGGGGGGCAUGCCUGUUCGAGCGUCAUUUCACCACUCAAGCCUCGCUUGGUAUUGGGCAACGCGGUCCGCCGCGUGCCUCAAAUCGACCGGCUGGGUCUUCUGUCCCCUAAGCGUUGUGGAAACUAUUCGCUAAAGGGUGUUCGGGAGGCUACGCCGUAAAACAACCCCAUUUCUAAGGUUGACCUCGG